UCACUACAACAAAUAUGGGCUUUUAUUGCAUUAGGUUAUAGCGUUUUUACAUCUUUGCUAUAAAAGAGGAGUAGUAAUAGCGUUUCCUGUUCAGAAACAGGGGAACGCUCCCUCGGAUCCUCCGCUCAUAAAAUUAUAGCGUUUCAUUAACAUAGAACAGUGUUCCGCGAAAACCUUCGGGCGCGAAAAUCUUGGGGCGCCAAUCCUUUGCCGCCCAAAGUCACCAAAAAUUUCAAUCGCUCCAUCAAAAUCAGAGGCACCAGAUCUCCCAAUCACUUCGCUCGAACUGGAGCUUGAUAUCUCAAGCAUUGCGAACUGAUUUUGCUCGUUUAUGGAUCGAUUUCUCGUGUCCUAGGGCUUCAAUCGUGCACACCAGAAUCAAAGCCAUAUUCCGACAUAUUGCACUGGCAGAAGCAAACAAUCAGUUUGGAAACUUCUCACCAGUAACAUGUAUAUCCAGCCGAGGCACUUGUCCAAAAUGUUGACAAGCUAUGAAAGGUUAAAGCAAAAAAAAAUGGAUCAAAACUUAGUACAAUUGAAGGCUGCUGGAGUCAAGAAUGUGCCAAAGUUUUUGUUGGGCUUAAAUCAAAGUGCCAACAUUAAAGUUAAUGAUAAGGAAGAAGUUGACAUUGGGCGUGCAGUCGAUGGUGAUGAAGACGUCGUACUAUUUGAUGGUGAAGAAAGGUUGUGUUCUAAUAAUGACAAUGAUGAUCCUUCGGGGUCUAUAACAAAUGAGGUGAAUGGUACAGGUCCAAGAAAUAAAAAGGAUUGUUCUAGUGCACAACCUCUGAGAAAAUCACAAAGAACUCAAGAAUAGGGUGGCAGUACCCAAGGAGCAACCCAAGCUCAGCAGCUUCCCACAUCACGUACUGAACAACCUGACAUGUUUUGCAGCCCACAUACGGUUGUUGGUUGUGUGGAAACUCUUGCAAGCCCUUCAAGAACGUCACAAAAUCUCAAGCGCAAAAGAGGCCCAACCAAGCUGAAAACCAUUGCUAUAGAUGGAAGUAGUCGGAUUGAAGUUAAGUUUGAUGGGAAUGGUGAACCAAUAGGUGAGGGAUCAGUCAAGUUGUCUUCUUUCUUGGGACCUCUAGUUCGAGAGAUUGUACCAUAUACACUAAAGGAUUGGCGAAAGCUUCCUUCGGCAAUGGCAGAAAUCUUAUGGCAAUCUAUUAAGGUAAGAUUCAAUCUUCAUGAAGAAUGGCAUAGACAAAUGGUUUUCCGGAGAAUGAAUGAAGAUUGGAGAGCCUCAAAGUCAAUAUUAGUAAAAAAAAUAAGAAACGCUUCGAAUGAGGAAGAAAGGCUAAAGCUACAGCCUGAUAACGUCAAAUCGCUACAUGAUUGAAAGGAUUUUGUGAAGGAAAAGACUAGUAAAGAAUUCAAGGUUUAUGGGUUGAUAAAGAAGUGUUGUUGUGACUUUUUACUGAAGAUGUAGGUAUGAUCUUGCUAGUGUGAUGGCUGUCAUUAUCGCUUGGUUGGUUGAAGCUUUUUUGUUGAUACUUAUGGGAUGGAUAGAUUUUGGAAGGACUGUUUUGGUUGAAGCCUUUUUAUUAAUAUUUCGGUGUCGAGGUUUGAACUCCACUUUUGGGAUACAUAGAUGUUUUGGAAGGCUUUUUUGUUGAUAUUUGGUAACAAGGCUUGUACUCCACUUUCGGGAUACACGGAUAUUUUGGAAGGCCUUUUUGUUGAUAUUUGGUGACAAGGCUUGUAUAUACUAGUAGAUAGAAAUGUUGGAAGGACAUUUAGUAUAUUGAAUUUCUUUUGUAAUGGUAAUCGCUUUGAUGUUUGGAAAUAUUUUGUUGGUUUUGUAUGCAAUAUUGUGACAUAUAUUGUCAAGGAAGUCAUUGGAGCCGCCAUCUUCUUUUUUUAAG
Molecule: RNA transcript, 1871 nt
Organism: Rhododendron vialii
Lineage: Eukaryota; Viridiplantae; Streptophyta; Magnoliopsida; Ericales; Ericaceae
Exons: 7
Source: RefSeq, a predicted model, not a curated record